UUUUAGAGUUAUACCGGCCGAACAAUAUUUAGCUGAAUUUUCAUCGGACCGGAGACAUAUGCGAAGACCAGACACCACAUGGAUCAAACCUCCGCCACCAUAUCCACCGAUUCAGUCAAGUGCAAACACCCACAAUUUGGAUGACUUCAUUUGUACACAGCCGGGAAAAGGGCCCGGCAUUGUUUAUAGUCUAAUGGAAUUCGUUUCAACGUUUUAUAAACCAUUGAGCAGCACAAAAAAUGGAGUGGGGGACAAGGAAUAAAACCCCGGACAGACUUAACAUUGCCACAUAAAAGAAAAAAAAUUAAGAAACUUGCUGUCCAUCCGGGGCCUUAUUGACCGCUAUCCAAAUAAAAAAAAA
Molecule: long non-coding RNA, 361 nt
Organism: Contarinia nasturtii (swede midge)
Lineage: Eukaryota; Metazoa; Arthropoda; Insecta; Diptera; Cecidomyiidae
Exons: 2
Source: RefSeq, a predicted model, not a curated record